Molecule: long non-coding RNA, 534 nt
Filed under: Coturnix japonica (Japanese quail)
Lineage: Eukaryota; Metazoa; Chordata; Aves; Galliformes; Phasianidae
Description: lncRNA (ENSCJPG00005003065.1)
Source: RNAcentral
AUGAAUUUCACAACAUUCUGUAGUUAUUGCUUCUAUACACUCGAUUUCAAAGCUUUUAUGUGUAGCCUCAAUAAACAUGAACUGAACCCCUACUAUUUUAUUGAUGCUUUACUGAAAAUCACUCCAAUCACUCUUUUUUCCAUUUUCAGAGGAGUUCUUCGUGUCGUGUCAGAUGAGGGCAUAUUGACUGACCAUCUAAUUACACUGUCAUUAAUACUGCAAUUCAAUACUGAUCUUGGCACUGAAUCAAGCAUAAAGACAAAAGACAUUCCCACUGGGCACCACUGAAGCAAAUGCUUCACAUCAUGUCCCCACCUGUCCCCCUUCUAAUCUAAGGCAUUCCAUGCCUUGGCAUCUGUAUACUGGAAAGCUGUGACAGCUCACUCAUGUCUAGGUCACUCUGACUUUUAGUUGUUGCCUGGAUGCUCAGACAAGAAAAAUGGCCAGUGUGGGGAAGAAGAAAAGACUGUCAUAUGCAAGUAACUCCAUGACAUGUGGAAUUCUACUGAUCUGAAUGUGCACUCAGAGCCCUAU